CACGUAGGGUGCGAGCGUUGUCCGGAAUUAUUGGGCGUAAAGAGCUCGUAGGCGGUGUGUCGCGUCGGCCGUGAAAACCUGCAGCUUAACUGUGGGCGUGCGGUCGAUACGGGCAUGACUGGAGUUCGGCAGGGGAGACUGGAAUUCCUGGUGUAGCGGUGAAAUGCGCAGAUAUCAGGAGGAACACCGAUGGCGAAGGCAGCUCGCUGGGACGGUACUGACGCUGAGACGCGAAAGCGUGGGGAGCAAACAGG
This 254-nucleotide ribosomal RNA is filed under the name uncultured bacterium. RNAcentral's name for it is "partial 16S ribosomal RNA". It matches the Rfam family "Bacterial small subunit ribosomal RNA", at positions 524 to 776 of the family's 1533-position model. The record is from RNAcentral.